This 575-nucleotide ribosomal RNA is filed under the name uncultured bacterium. Its description in RNAcentral is "partial 16S ribosomal RNA". It matches the Rfam family "Bacterial small subunit ribosomal RNA", at positions 355 to 922 of the family's 1533-position model. The record is from RNAcentral.
UGGGGAAUUUUGGACAAUGGGCGAAAGCCUGAUCCAGCAAUGCCGCGUGUGUGAAGAAGGCCUUCGGGUUGUAAAGCACUUUUGUCCGGAAAGAAAUCCUUGGCUCUAAUACAGUCGGGGGAUGACGGUACCGGAAGAAUAAGCACCGGCUAACUACGUGCCAGCAGCCGCGGUAAUACGUAGGGUGCAAGCGUUAAUCGGAAUUACUGGGCGUAAAGCGUGCGCAGGCGGUUUGCUAAGACCGAUGUGAAAUCCCCGGGCUCAACCUGGGAACUGCAUUGGUGACUGGCAGGCUAAAGUAUGGCAGAGGGGGGUAGAAUUCCACGUGUAGCAGUGAAAUGCGUAGAGAUGUGGAGGAAUACCGAUGGCGAAGGCAGCCCCCUGGGCCAAUACUGACGCUCAUGCACGAAAGCGUGGGGGAGCAAACAGGAUUAGAUACCCUGGUAGUCCACGCCCUAAACGAUGUCAACUAGUUGUUGGGGAUUCAUUUCCUUAGUAACGUAGCUAACGCGUGAAGUUGACCGCCUGGGGAGUACGGUCGCAAGAUUAAAACUCAAAUGAAUUGACGGGGUCAU